Molecule: long non-coding RNA, 495 nt
Organism: Bos taurus (domestic cattle)
Lineage: Eukaryota; Metazoa; Chordata; Mammalia; Artiodactyla; Bovidae
Source: Ensembl
GAGGAGGAGCAUUUUCAGAUGAGAAUACUGAGGCUCCUAGAAUUCACUCAGAGCUGUUACCUGGAGCUCUCAAAGUCCCGAUUACUACAAGGGAGAAUUGAAAACAAACCACUCUUGGACUCUGAGCAGAAGUGGCAGCAAUAUCUCUGCUUAGAAAUCUGCAGGUGAAGGAUGGAGCGAGGGUCUGUUUCUCAUUAGAGUUCUUGGCAAACGUUUUGAGGCGCAUCUGGAAAAGAAGGAUGAUCAAGACACCACUCAGCACAGUGCCUGGGAUAUAACAGCCACCCCUGCCACCUGCCACACACAGGUUGUGAAGUGCAUGAGCGAAUGAAUGAAAAACUCCCCGACACCACGCUGGAGGCUGGACCCAGUCCACCCUCCUCACCUCCAGCAAGGAAUUUUCCAAAGAAAUUUCUGGAGAUUAUCAGUGACACUGUGUGAAAUAUUGAGAUUUGGAAAAGAAGGGAGAUAACCCCUUCUAGCUCCAAAUAGCUU